This 253-nucleotide ribosomal RNA is filed under the name uncultured bacterium. RNAcentral's name for it is "partial 16S ribosomal RNA". It matches the Rfam family "Bacterial small subunit ribosomal RNA", at positions 526 to 779 of the family's 1533-position model. The record is from RNAcentral.
CGUAGGUGGCAAGCGUUGUCCGGAUUUAUUGGGCGUAAAGGGAGCGCAGGUGGUGAUUUAAGUCUGAUGUGAAAGCCCACGGCUCAACCGUGGAAGGUCAUUGGAAACUGGAUCACUUGAGUGCAGAAGAGGAAAGCGGAAUUCCAUGUGUAGCGGUGAAAUGCGUAGAUAUGUGGAGGAACACCAGUGGCGAAAGCGGCUUUCUGGUCUGACACUGACACUGAGGCUCGAAAGCGUGGGAGCAAACAGGAUU